This 71-nucleotide transfer RNA is filed under the name Loxodonta africana (African savanna elephant). It matches the Rfam family "tRNA". Rfam says of the family: Transfer RNA (tRNA) molecules are approximately 80 nucleotides in length. The record is from Rfam by way of RNAcentral. Lineage: Eukaryota; Metazoa; Chordata; Mammalia; Proboscidea; Elephantidae.
GCUUUGGUGUAUUAGUGGUAGUAUUCUUGCCUUCCAUGCAGGAGACCUGGGUUGGAUUCCUGGCCAAUGCA